AUGUGUACGAGAAAGCAUGAAGGAGGAAUGGGUUUUAGAGAUCCGGAGGCUUUCAACCAAGCUAUGCUUGCCAAACAAGCUUGGAGACUAUUCCAGGAACCCGCCUCACUAUGUGCUCGAGUGUUGAAAGCCAGGUAUUAUGUUGAUGGAUCCAUUUUAAAUGCAUCUUGUCCAAGUGGUGGCUCGUACACGUUCAAGAGCAUUUUGCACGGG
RNAcentral lists this ribosomal RNA (213 nucleotides) under Triticum aestivum (bread wheat). Its description in RNAcentral is "partial small subunit ribosomal RNA". The record is from RNAcentral. Lineage: Eukaryota; Viridiplantae; Streptophyta; Magnoliopsida; Poales; Poaceae.